CAGCAGCCGCGGUAAUACAGAGGAUGCGAGCGUUGUUCGGAAUCACUGGGCUUAAAGCGCAUGUAGGCGGACCAGCAAGUGUCUUGUGAAAGCCCUCGGCUCAACCGAGGAAUUGCUUGGCAAACUGCUGGUCUUGAGGCAGUUAGAGGCGACUGGAACCUUUGGUGGAGAGGUGAAAUUCGUAGAUAUCAAAGGGAACGCCGGUGGCGAAAGCGGGUCGCUGGGCCUGUCCUGACGCUGAGAUGCGAAAGCGUAGGUAGCGAACGGGAUUAGAUACCCCGGUAGUCUACGCCGUAAACGAUGCGCACUAGGUACGAGAAUCUCUGACGGUUUUCGUGCCGGAGCGAAAGUUUUAAGUGCGCCGCCUGGGGAGUACGGCCGCAAGGCUAAAACUCAAAGGAAUUGACGGGGGCUCACACAAGCGGUGGAGCAUGUGGAUUAAUUCGAAGCAACGCGAAGAACCUUACCUGGGUUUGACAUGCACGGAUGCCCUUGUGGAAACACGAAUAAGCUGCCUUCGGGUGAAACGUGCACAGGUGCUGCAUGGCUGUCGUCAGCUCGUGCUGUGAAGUGUCGGGUUAAGUCCCUUAACGAGCGAAACCCUUAUCGUUAGUUGCCAGCGGGUCAUGCCGGGCACUCUAGCGAGACUGCCGGCGUUAAGCCGGAGGAAGGUGGGGAAGACGUCAAGUCAUCAUGGCCCAUAUGCCCAGGGUGUCACACGUGACACAAUGGGAUGUACAGAGCGAAGCGAGACCGCGAGGUGGAGCAUAUCGCAAAAAGCAUUCCUCAGUUCGGAUUGGAGUCUGCAACUAGACUCCAUGAAGUUGGUAUCGCUAGUUAUCGCGUAUCAGCCGCCGCGGUGAAUACGUUCCCGGGCCUUGUACACACCGCCCGUCAAGCCAUGAAAGAUGGUAGUACCCGAAGUCGUUUUCCUAACCCUCGGGAAGGAUGCGCCGAAGGUAAGACCAUUAAUUGGGGCUAAGUCGUAACAAGGUAACCGUA
This 1002-nucleotide ribosomal RNA is filed under the name uncultured Planctomycetota bacterium. RNAcentral's name for it is "bacterial SSU rRNA". It matches the Rfam family "Bacterial small subunit ribosomal RNA", at positions 509 to 1504 of the family's 1533-position model. The record is from RNAcentral. Lineage: Bacteria; Pseudomonadati; Planctomycetota.